ACGGGAGGCAGCAGUGAGGAAUAUUGGUCAAUGGCCGGAAGGCUGAACCAGCCAUGCCGCGUGAAGGUUACGGUCCUAUGGAUUUUAAACUUCUUUUGAUGCAGAGCAAUAAGGCGCACGUGUGCGUUGAUGAGAGUAUGCAUCGAAUAAGCAUCGGCUAACUCCGUGCCAGCAGCCGCGGUAAUACGGAGGAUGCAAGCGUUAUCCGGAUUUAUUGGGUUUAAAGGGUGCGUAGGCUGCGAGGUAAGUCAGCGGUGAAAUGUAUAUGCUUAACAUAUAAAUUGCCAUUGAUACUGCUUUGCUAGGAUACAGAUGACGUGGGAGGAAUGUGUGGUGUAGCGGUGAAAUGCAUAGAUAUCACACAGAACACCGAUUGCGAAGGCAUCUCACGAAUCUGGCAUUGACGCUGAGGCACGAAAGUGUGGGGAUCAAACAGGAUUAGAUACCCUGGUA
Molecule: ribosomal RNA, 453 nt
Filed under: uncultured Porphyromonadaceae bacterium
Lineage: Bacteria; Pseudomonadati; Bacteroidota; Bacteroidia; Bacteroidales; Porphyromonadaceae
Description: partial 16S ribosomal RNA
Rfam family: Bacterial small subunit ribosomal RNA
Source: RNAcentral